GCUCGAAUAGCUUAUAGGUUAGAGCGCGACACUGAAGAUGUCGAUGAGGUAUUUAAUUGCCUUUGAGUA
This 69-nucleotide transfer RNA is filed under the name Furculitermes cubitalis. RNAcentral describes it as "tRNA-Phe". Lineage: Eukaryota; Metazoa; Arthropoda; Insecta; Blattodea; Termitidae. The record is from RNAcentral.